GACGAACGCUGGCGGCGUGCCUAAUACAUGCAAGUAGAACGCUGAAGGAGGAGCUUGCUUCUCCGGAUGAGUUGCGAACGGGUGAGUAACGCGUAGGUAACCUGCCUGGUAGCGGGGGAUAACUAUUGGAAACGAUAGCUAAUACCGCAUAACAGUAGAUAUUGCAUGAUAUCUGCUUGAAAGGUGCAAUUGCAUCACUACCAGAUGGACCUGCGUUGUAUUAGCUAGUUGGUGAGGUAACGGCUCACCAAGGCGACGAUACAUAGCCGACCUGAGAGGGGGAUCGGGCACACUGGGAAUGAGACGAGGCCCUAACUUCUUAGGGAAGGAACAGUUGGGGAUUUUUGGCGAAUGAAGGAAGUCUGAACGGGCAACGGCGCGUGAGAGAAGAAGGUUUUCGGAUCGGAAAGCUCUGUUGUAAGAGAAGAACGAGUGUGAGAGUGGAAAGUUCACACUGUGACGGUAUCUUACCAGAAAGGGACGGCUAACUACGUG
This 495-nucleotide ribosomal RNA is filed under the name uncultured bacterium. Its description in RNAcentral is "partial 16S ribosomal RNA". It matches the Rfam family "Bacterial small subunit ribosomal RNA", at positions 28 to 507 of the family's 1533-position model. The record is from RNAcentral.